CCUACGGGGGGCUGCAGUAGGGAAUAUUGGACAAUGGGCGCAAGCCUGAUCCAGCCAUGCCGCGUGAGUGAAGAAGGCCCUCGGGUUGUAAAGCUCUUUUGUCCGGAAAGAAAAGCUUUGGGUUAAUACCCCGAAGUCCUGACGGUACCGGAAGAAUAAGCACCGGCUAACUUCGUGCCAGCAGCCGCGGUAAUACGAAGGGUGCAAGCGUUACUCGGAAUUACUGGGCGUAAAGCGUGCGUAGGUGGUUUGUUAAGUCUGAUGUGAAAGCCCUG
Molecule: ribosomal RNA, 275 nt
Filed under: uncultured Thermomonas sp.
Lineage: Bacteria; Pseudomonadati; Pseudomonadota; Gammaproteobacteria; Lysobacterales; Lysobacteraceae
Description: partial 16S ribosomal RNA
Rfam family: Bacterial small subunit ribosomal RNA
Source: RNAcentral